This 426-nucleotide long non-coding RNA is filed under the name Physcomitrium patens. RNAcentral's name for it is "long non-coding RNA (PPAT_LNC008771)". The record is from RNAcentral. Lineage: Eukaryota; Viridiplantae; Streptophyta; Bryopsida; Funariales; Funariaceae.
UCUGAAAAAUCAAGGGUGGAGAUGUAGCCACCCUUUUACGAGCCUCCACUCAAUUUUAUAAGAGAGGCUUGGUUUUCCAAGCCCUCUCUCUCUCCUCUUUUGGUGAAGGGCAAAGCCAUGCUAAAAUUUGGCCAAAAAUCCUAAUUUUAAUUUCAUUUAGAUUUUAAAUCUCAUUAUGAAUUUUUUGGGUGGAUGUGCAUGGAUUUUGAGUUGUGAAUGAUAGUCAAUUGGGUCUUAAAACACGUUUCAUUGUGGUGAAUAGCUCCCUUGGCCUCCCAAUUACUCCAAGGGUUUCAAGAGCCUCAGAUUUCCCUCCAUCAGUCAUUCAACUGUUUUAGUUCCAAUGUGAUUUUUUUUUGUGGUUGUAGCUUUCGUUGUUAGAUUUCCAAAAAGAUAAGGCUCGCUCCAUUUGGAGUUGAACUGAAU